CCUCCAUUAAGCUUCUUCAUCCUUCCGUUUUCUCUACAAAGUUCUCAUCUUCUCCACGUAAACCUUCUUAAGCUCACUGAUUUGUUUCUUCCAUCCCGACAAACCCAUGUGAAGUCAUCUCCAUUUCAUCCACUUUCAUUUGUUUACUCUUCCCUUUAUCCACGUAACACCACUUCUUCCAUCCAUCCCAUUAAAAUAAUCUACUCAUCCCAUCUCAAAGGAGACUUCCAUCAUAUUCUUCUUUGUUUAUUCAUCUCCUCUUGGUUUCUUCCACCACAAUGUUCUUCUUCCACCCACCAUCAUUCCAUCUUUCAUUAUAAAAUUUUCCUUCACUAUUCACUCUAUUAAAUAUUCAUCCCAUCUUUCGUUCCAUAGAUUCCUCCAAAAAAAGUCUCAAAUCUCUAUCAUUUGAGUCGUAACCCAUGUGAGAUUU
RNAcentral lists this long non-coding RNA (433 nucleotides) under Elaeis guineensis (African oil palm). Its description in RNAcentral is "long non-coding RNA (EGUI_LNC041354)". Lineage: Eukaryota; Viridiplantae; Streptophyta; Magnoliopsida; Arecales; Arecaceae. The record is from RNAcentral.